Molecule: long non-coding RNA, 1517 nt
Filed under: Equus caballus (horse)
Lineage: Eukaryota; Metazoa; Chordata; Mammalia; Perissodactyla; Equidae
Description: lncRNA (ENSECAG00000055070.1)
Source: RNAcentral
AGAAAAGAGAAGCCGCCUGAGUCAGAGGAAAGAGCAUGAACAAUGGGAUAACCAGGAGGCUGGCCUUCCCCAGAGCUGCAGCUUCGGUGACAGCCUGCUGCUGCCGCUGCGGCUGCGCUCUUUGCCCUUCAGGCUCUCGGCACCAUUGUGAUGCUGUAAUGAAGUAGAGCUGCCCUGUCAGAGCUCAUCAGCAGUCCCGUGAAGGCGGAAUGAAAUCACUUCUGUUGACCCCCCGGCAUAUUUAUAGGCUCGCUCUUUCUGCAGAGGCUGGUGGUUAUCACUUUCCCGUCCCGUGUUGUGUUUAUUCAGCAGCACGCUAAAUCACGCCCGUGUGCAAGUGGAGCAUUCAUCAGGAACACUGAACCCCUCUUUCAGGCUGCCAAACCCAUCCAAUUACUGGGGCUGGAAGGGCCUGCAAAAAAACUCUUCUACCAGGAUGAGGUUUUGAUGAGCAAUAAGACUUGGAAACCAUCCUCAAGCAUCCUCAAGCAAGCCUCGAGAAAUUCCAAGGAACAAAGUUCAGCCAAUAUUUAGAGAAUGGCAUCUGUAAUAACACAGAAGUUUUCCAAGUUGACCCAUGGGCCCCAGGAAAACGUGAAAGAAGGGGAUCAUCGACAAAUUUUAGGGAAUCUGUGACCCCCCCAAAAAAAUUAUGCAAAAAUGAUAGAUCUCAAUGACACUUUUUGGAGACAAUUUCCAUAGCUUUCAUCAGAUUUGAGACGAGACCCAAAAGAUAACUGAAAGCCCCUGCAUUUAAACCAAAAGGCUACUGAUCUUAGAUUUCAAAUAAAAUCUAAUCAAGUAUUUUCUAACUUUUCUUCUUUGCUGCGACUUAACCCCUGAUCUUUACGGGCUUGCCAACAUUUUACGUUAGAUCACAAUUAUUAUAUUUGUUCAAACUGUUUUACUUAACUUUCACUUAAAAUGUAGCUAUGCAAAGUAUUAUCAAACCCUUUCUUAAAAUUCAGGUUUAUUUAUACUAUUUUGAAUUUAAUAGUUACUUUCAUUUAGAAUUCUUAUUACUGCCCUUUCUACUUCAAAUUUUUUAGAGAAGCAUCCAUGGAGACACAGAGGCAUAGUAGGAAGAACGGGGUCUUUGGCAUCAAACAGGCAUGGGUCUGUAUCCCAGCUUCUCCCAGAGAGGAGGGAAGAAACCUGCCCCAAAGGAUGGCUCUGAGGAACGUGGAGGUGCCAUGACCUGAAAAGUGCAUGGCCUUGGGACACAGUGGAAAUGCGAAGGUCUCAGUUUUGCCCUCUGUGAAACGGGGAGAAGAAGACCCACUCUUCUAAGGCCGCUGAUGCGGUGAAAUACAAUAAUGUCUAGAAAGUGCCUGGGACAAUGCCUGCACAAGGGACUCACCCAGGAAACGGUGCUGAUGGGAACAGUCAGAACUGACUGAGUGGCUUCUCCAGGAUGGACACUUUGUCAACUUUCUCAGUCAUCCUGAAGGGAGCAUCAAGGAGCUUCCAACUAAUGGCAGGUCCAACAUUCAGCCUUCAGAAUUCAAACGUUAAAA